GAAAUGCGAUAAGUAAUAUGAAUUGCAGAUUUUCGUGAAUCAUCGAAUCUUUGAACGCACAUUGCACUUUCUGGUAUUCCAGAAAGUAUGCUUGUUUGAGCGUCAUUUCUCUCUCUAAUUUAAUUAGGUUGUGAGCGAUAACACGUUUUGCUUGAAAUUUAUUCAUGGUUAUAUCUAGGUUCACCCAAUUUAUCACCAUCUCUAAAUUUUGACCUCAAAUCAAGUAGGAUUACCCGCUGAACUUAA
This 246-nucleotide unclassified non-coding RNA is filed under the name uncultured Saccharomycetales. Its description in RNAcentral is "sequence contains ITS1". The stretch from base 1 to 105 matches the Rfam family "5.8S ribosomal RNA", at positions 50 to 154 of the family's 154-position model. Lineage: Eukaryota; Fungi; Ascomycota; Saccharomycetes. The record is from RNAcentral.